Molecule: ribosomal RNA, 253 nt
Filed under: uncultured bacterium
Lineage: Bacteria
Description: partial 16S ribosomal RNA
Rfam family: Bacterial small subunit ribosomal RNA
Source: RNAcentral
UACGAAGGGGGCUAGCGUUGUUCGGAAUUACUGGGCGUAAAGCGCGCGCAGGCGGCCUUCCAAGUCAGUGGUGAAAGCCCGGAGCUCAACUCCGGAACUGCCAUUGAAACUGUGAGACUGGAGUACGAGAGAGGUGAGUGGAAUUCCCAGUGUAGAGGUGAAAUUCGUAGAUAUUGGGAAGAACACCGGUGGCGAAGGCGGCUCACUGGCUCGUAACUGACGCUCAGGCGCGACAGCGUGGGGAUCAAACAGG